Molecule: long non-coding RNA, 1049 nt
Filed under: Capra hircus (goat)
Lineage: Eukaryota; Metazoa; Chordata; Mammalia; Artiodactyla; Bovidae
Description: lncRNA (ENSCHIG00010000865.1)
Source: RNAcentral
GAAAUCAACGCUGUGGUGUUCAGCUAGAGAAAAAAAAAAAAAAAGUGAAACAUUUCUUCAACAGGAAAUCUACAGUGAGUAGCAUGAGUAACUUUCCCAGGAAGUUCUUAAAAUAUUAAACAGUUCCAUUUAAGUAUGUAGACCCUUGAGCUAAAGUUACCUUAGAGGAAAAUGUAAUGAUCCCAGAGGAGUCCCAUUUGAAAGUCAAAAAACUGAGUCCUCCCCCUCUUCCCUGUUCCCCCUUUUCAGAAAACAAGUCGGCGUAUCAUUUGGUGAAAGAGGAAGUGAAACAAAGCUUGUGUCCAGUGGCCUGGAGCGUGAUGCUCAGGGCUCCAGCAGAACCUACAAAAGUAAAACGAUGUGGUUAUAGAUUUUCANAAAUGUUAGUCUAUUUAUAACAUUUGUUUCAGAAUAUAUGUAACCAAAAUGAAUUGCUCCAACAACUCAAAAUAGCGAUUCUGAAAAAAUCGCUGUAGCUCCCUGUGGCCUAGAAAUGAGGUCAUUGUCUCCUUUUUGAAGCGCUCCCUCUCCAAUUAUUUAAGUUUGAACGCAGGUUGGCCCGGCAGCCUCAACCCCAGAGAAGAGGCAUUUGAUCCAGCGCUGUCUUUACUUCUCUCGGCCACACGGUGUCGCUGUCGGAGACAAGUUGGUUCACCUUAAAAUGCUUCCUCUCUGUGAGGAGCCCUUAGGAUGUUGGUCCCUAAAGGCGCCACGGGGGCUCUUCACAGAGGUCAGUGACCUCCCUCAGCACUCAGUUCUGCUGUGGACUCCAACAUGGCUGCCGUGUCAACCAAGUUCUUUUAGCUUCUGUGAACCGAGAGUUGGCUCCUGAAGCUCUGAGUUGAAAUAGAUUCUAUUGUUCACGGAGCUCCCUCCCAACCUUCCUUGCAGUGAUGGCCAAGGGUGAAGGUGGCCUCAUAUUUUCCACCAUCUAUCCUCCUGACUCCCAACUUCCCAAACAUAAAGGCUCUCUCAAUAUUGCCUUUCCCUAGGCAGUCUGGGCGGAGAAGGCAGUGGCACCCCACUCCAGUACUCUUGCCUGGAAAAUC